RNAcentral lists this ribosomal RNA (465 nucleotides) under Vreelandella stevensii. RNAcentral describes it as "partial 16S ribosomal RNA". It matches the Rfam family "Bacterial small subunit ribosomal RNA", at positions 338 to 795 of the family's 1533-position model. The record is from RNAcentral. Lineage: Bacteria; Pseudomonadati; Pseudomonadota; Gammaproteobacteria; Oceanospirillales; Halomonadaceae.
CCUACGGGUGGCAGCAGUGGGGAAUAUUGGACAAUGGGGGGAACCCUGAUCCAGCCAUGCCGCGUGUGUGAAGAAGGCCCUCGGGUUGUAAAGCACUUUCAGUGAGGAAGAACGCCUGGUGGUUAAUACCCAUCAGGAAAGACAUCACUCACAGAAGAAGCACCGGCUGACUCCGUGCCAGCAGCCGCGGUAAUACGGAGGGUGCGAGCGUUAAUCGGAAUUACUGGGCGUAAAGCGCGCGUAGGUGGCUUGAUAAGCCGGUUGUGAAAGCCCCGGGCUCAACCUGGGAACGGCAUCCGGAACUGUCAAGCUAGAGUGCAGGAGAGGAAGGUAGAAUUCCCGGUGUAGCGGUGAAAUGCGUAGAGAUCGGGAGGAAUACCAGUGGCGAAGGCGGCCUUCUGGACUGACACUGACACUGAGGUGCGAAAGCGUGGGUAGCAAACAGGAUUAGAUACCCUGGUAGUC